GCAGUCGAGCGGUAAGGCCAUUCGGGGUACACGAGCGGCGAACGGGUGAGUAACACGUGGGUAACCUGCCCUGUACUCUGGGAUAAGCCUGGGAAACUAGGUCUAAUACCGGAUAUGACUCCACUAGGCAUCUUGUGGGGUGGAAAGUUCCGGCGGUACAGGAUGGACCCGCGGCCUAUCAGCUUGUUGGUGGGGUAAUGGCCUACCAAGGCGACGACGGGUAGCCGGCCUGAGAGGGUGACCGGCCACACUGGGACUGAGACACGGCCCAGACUCCUACGGGAGGCAGCAGUGGGGAAUAUUGCACAAUGGGCGAAAGCCUGAUGCAGCGACGCCGCGUGAGGGAUGACGGCCUUCGGGUUGUAAACCUCUUUCAGCAGGGACGAAGCGCAAGUGACGGUACCUGCAGAAGAAGCACCGGCUAACUACGUGCCAGCAGCCGCGGUAAUACGUAGGGUGCGAGCGUUGUCCGGAAUUAUUGGGCGUAAAGAGCUCGUAGGCGGUUUGUUGCGUCGGCUGUGAAAACUUCACGCUUAACGUGGAGCCUGCAGUCGAUACGGGCAGACUUGAGUUCGGCAGGGGAGACUGGAAUUCCUGGUGUAGCGGUGAAAUGCGCAGAUAUCAGGAGGAACACCGGUGGCGAAGGCGGGUCUCUGGGCCGAUACUGACGCUGAGGAGCGAAAGCGUGGGGAGCGAACAGGAUUAGAU
This 708-nucleotide ribosomal RNA is filed under the name Saccharothrix sp. Its description in RNAcentral is "bacterial SSU rRNA". It matches the Rfam family "Bacterial small subunit ribosomal RNA", at positions 57 to 783 of the family's 1533-position model. Lineage: Bacteria; Bacillati; Actinomycetota; Actinomycetes; Pseudonocardiales; Pseudonocardiaceae. The record is from RNAcentral.